GACGAACCGUCCAAACGUUAUUCGGAAUCACUGGGCUUAAAGGGUGCGUAGGCGGCGCGGAAAGUUGGGUGUGAAAUACCUCGGCUUAACCGAGGAACUGCGCCCAAAACUACCGUGCUCGAGGGAGAUAGAGGUGAGCGGAACUUAGGGUGGAGCGGUGAAAUGCGUUGAUAUCCUAAGGAACACCGGUGGCGAAAGCGGCUCACUGGAUCUCUUCUGACGCUGAGGCACGAAAGCUAGGGUAGCGAACGGGAUUAGAAACCCCAGUAGUCC
This 273-nucleotide ribosomal RNA is filed under the name uncultured bacterium. Its description in RNAcentral is "partial 16S ribosomal RNA". It matches the Rfam family "Bacterial small subunit ribosomal RNA", at positions 524 to 796 of the family's 1533-position model. The record is from RNAcentral.